Molecule: unclassified non-coding RNA, 997 nt
Filed under: uncultured fungus
Lineage: Eukaryota; Fungi
Description: sequence contains 18S rRNA gene, ITS1, 5.8S rRNA gene, ITS2, 28S rRNA gene
Source: RNAcentral
GCGUCAGAUUCGGCGUUGCCGAGAUCGACCCGUGGGGGAUCGGCCGUUGCCUGGAACGCGCCGUUUGUGAAGCUCUGAUUGGAGAACUGCCGCCAUUCGCUCGGCCAAAUUGCCGGGUUCAGAUUCGGAACGUCGCCCGGACCGUCCAUAUCCCAGGCGUUGCCGGCGACCGUCUCGGAAUAUUCCUCGCCGGUCAGCUGGGUCGGGGCGGUGAUAUAGCCGUUAGGCGCAGCGUUGACGACCAGUGCGGCCGAAUAGCCGCUGCGGGCCUGAACCGAGAAGCCGCCGCCGCCGGCGUUGGCCGACUCGACGUAAAAAUACCAGCUACCCGCCGGCAGGAUCGCCGAUUUGAGCGCAUAAGUUCCCGGAUCGGCGCCGUUGGUGAAACGGGCCAGCGGAACGCCGUCGAAGCCGCUGUUGUUGUUGUCGACAUAGACCGUGACCAGCCGGGACGGAUUAAGACCGGAGGAAUUCCAGUUGAUGUUUACAGUCGGAGCCGAACUCGGAUCGACCAGACGGAUCCAGUCGAAAUUGGUGGUUGCUCCCGCGCCGCCUACAGUCGACGGAUCGAUUCGCAGGGCGAGGAUAUUUCCGCUCCAGCUACCCGCGCGCACUUCAAAGCCCGAGGCCAGAUUGGACAUGUCGUAGUUAUAGAUGUUGUAUCCGGAGCGCGGAUAGAAGGUGAAGUUGUGGUAGAAGCCGUCGAUCGUGGCUCCCUGAAGCGAACCGUCGGGCCAAUACUCCGGCUUCGAUUCGUCGUUGCUCCAGUAGAUCGCCUGAGUGCUGCGCGCCGAAUUGUUCAGCUUGAAAGCGAGCUGGGUAUACUUCGUCGAAUCGAUCUUGUGAUUGAUGCCGAAGCGCGGAAGUUCGAGGUCGCCCGGCAGACCUUCGGAAAACAAGCUGCCUUUGAAUCCGGGGAACAACGGGAGCACGUAGCCGCCGGCGACUUCGUUGGUGCCGCUCCAAAUUCCGUUCGCUACUCCGACCGAAGCACCGA